GCGGGGCGCGGUGGCGUGUGCCUGUAGUCCCAGCUACUGGGGAGGCUGCGGCUGGAGGGUCACCUGAGUCCAGGAGUUCUGGGCUGUAGUGCGCCAUGCCUGUUGGGUGUCCGCACUAAGUUUAGCAUCAAUAUGGUGACCUCCCGAGAGCGGAGGACCACCAGGCUGCCUAAGGAGGGGUGAACCAGCCCAGGUUGGAAACGGAGCGGGUCAAAACUCCCAUGCUGAUCAGUAGUGGGAUCGCAACUGUGAAUAGCCACUGCACUCCAGCCUGGGCAACAUAGAGAGACCCUCGUCU
RNAcentral lists this signal recognition particle RNA (298 nucleotides) under Aotus nancymaae (Ma's night monkey). Its description in RNAcentral is "Metazoan signal recognition particle RNA (ENSANAG00000007218.1)". It matches the Rfam family "Metazoan signal recognition particle RNA". Rfam says of the family: The signal recognition particle (SRP) is a universally conserved ribonucleoprotein. It is involved in the co-translational targeting of proteins to membranes. Lineage: Eukaryota; Metazoa; Chordata; Mammalia; Primates; Aotidae. The record is from Rfam by way of RNAcentral.